GUCGUGGUCAGGGGGGUUGUACUUGUAGCAGUUGGAGAACAUCAACCGGACGUCGGCGGCGAAUUCCUGCGCGUCGCGGUAUUCCCGGUUCUCCAUCUUCCGCUGCCGGGAAAAGAGCCGGGAACGUCGGGAAAAGGCGGGAAAAGGGGCAUGGAAAGGUCAUGGAAGGGUCAAUGGGGUCAUGGAAAAGUCAUAGAAUGGCAACGGGGUCAUGGAAAGGUCAUGAAAGGUCAAUGGGGUCAUGGAAGGGUCAUGGAAAGGUCAAUGGGAUCAUGGAAAGGUCAUGGAAGGGUCAUUGAGGGUCCAGAAACCUCAAUUUUUCCAGACCCAAAAGCCAAAAAACUCCUUAAAAAUCCCCCCCAAAAAACCACUAAAAAUGGCCUAAAAAAUGAAUCUAAAAAACCCAAAAAAUGCCCUAAAAAAAAAUCCCAAAAAAUCCCUAAAAAUUGAAAAAAAAAAUCCCCCAAAACCCCCUAAAAAAACCUCUAUAAAAUCCUCUAAAAAUUGCAAAAAAACCCUAAAAAAUCCCCCAAAAAUCCCUAAAAAUUGCAAAAAAAAAAUCCCUGUAAGAUCCCUAAAAACUGCAAAAAAUCUCCCAUAAAAAACUCUAAAAAUCCCAAAAAAAUCCCCAAAAAAUCCUCUAAAAAGUUCCUAAAAAUCCCUAAAAAAAAAGCCUAAAAAAAAUCCUUUAAAAAAUCCCAAAAAAAUCAUUAAAAAUACUAAGAAAAUCCCCAAAAACAUCCCUAAAAAAUUCCAUAAAGAAUCCCAAAAAACUGCAAAAAAAUCCCUAAAAAUUCCCAUUAAAAAAAC
RNAcentral lists this long non-coding RNA (810 nucleotides) under Parus major (Great Tit). RNAcentral describes it as "lncRNA (ENSPMJG00000002040.1)". The record is from RNAcentral. Lineage: Eukaryota; Metazoa; Chordata; Aves; Passeriformes; Paridae.